RNAcentral lists this ribosomal RNA (120 nucleotides) under Aspergillus tubingensis. Lineage: Eukaryota; Fungi; Ascomycota; Eurotiomycetes; Eurotiales; Aspergillaceae. The record is from RNAcentral.
ACAUACGACCAUAGGGUGUGGAAAAUAGGGCUUCCCGUCCGCUCAGCCGUACUCACGCCACACGCCGGGAGGUUAGUAGUUGGGUGGGUGACCACCAGCGAAUCCCUUCUGUUGUAUGUU